GACGAACCGUGCGAACGUUGUUCGGAAUCACUGGGCUUAGAGGGCGCGUAGGCGGGCGACCUGGUCGGGGGUGAAAUCGUUCGGCUCAACCGGACAACAGCCUUCGAUACCGGUCGCCUGGAGGGGGGUAGGGGCGUGUGGAACUUCCGGUGGAGCGGUGAAAUGCGUUGAUAUCGGAAGGAACUCCCGUGGCGAAAGCGACACGCUGGACCCCGCCUGACGCUGAGGCGCGAAAGCCAGGGGAGCGAACGGG
RNAcentral lists this ribosomal RNA (253 nucleotides) under uncultured prokaryote. RNAcentral's name for it is "partial 16S ribosomal RNA". It matches the Rfam family "Bacterial small subunit ribosomal RNA", at positions 524 to 776 of the family's 1533-position model. The record is from RNAcentral.